Molecule: long non-coding RNA, 705 nt
Organism: Alosa alosa (allis shad)
Lineage: Eukaryota; Metazoa; Chordata; Actinopteri; Clupeiformes; Clupeidae
Exons: 3
Source: RefSeq, a predicted model, not a curated record
UAAUUUCUAGAAGCGUGUCUACUCUUCAUGGAGGACACAGGUUUCUGCUUGGAGUUUUAACAUUUGUUGUGAUCACCUUUGGCUGCAUUGCAAUGGAACAUUCACCUUUUUGUCUCAUGUGUCAAUGAGCUGUGGGACAGUUGAGCAUGCUGAAAAGGACCAGGCCAGCCACUGUUUUUCUGUAAUUAGUAAGCAUGUCUUUAUUGUGUUUUUGUUUGUUUGGUUGGUUAUCUGUGACUUUGCCUCUGGGCCUACCACCCAUGUGCACCGAUCAUAGUAGCAUUGUACAGUAAUUAGUGGUGCUAUUGAUUCUGGUGGUUCUCCUCCCUAACUAUGUCUUCUGCUUAGACCCUGUACAAGGCCCGAUCCACACUGAUGCUUUGCCUCUUCUUGCCAAGGGACCACAUUGGGAGACAUGUCUUGGUGUGUACUAUAACUACAACACUGUGUGAUAUUUUGUAGUGGUAUCUAAAGACCUUAAGAGUGUAGUGCUUGCUGGAACACAACACGUGUGAUUUUGUAGUGGUAUCUGAAGAUCUUGAGUGUAGUGCUUGCUGUGUUGCAUGCUUCGUCUGGUGUUGGGUUGCUGUCUCCUGUUUUUUCUCUCACCAGGGUCCUCCUGAGCAGGGGUUUUGCAUUGGCUGAUCCGACCUUCCUAGACUGAGGAAAAUCCACCAGUUGAUUAUAGCAGUAUUUUAAGCUCUA